UUCGGAUCGGAGUCUGNAACCCGACUCCGUGAAGCUGGAUUCGCUAGUAAUCGCGCAUCAGCCAUGGCGCGGUGAAUACGUUCCCGGGCCUUGUACACACCGCCCGUCAAGCCAUGGGAGCCGGGGGUGCUUGAAGUGCGUCGCCGCAAGGCGCGCCCUAGAGCAAAACCGGUGACUGGGGCUAAGUCGUAACAAGGUAAC
Molecule: ribosomal RNA, 201 nt
Filed under: uncultured bacterium
Lineage: Bacteria
Description: partial 16S ribosomal RNA
Rfam family: Bacterial small subunit ribosomal RNA
Source: RNAcentral